This 1453-nucleotide long non-coding RNA is filed under the name Equus caballus (horse). RNAcentral describes it as "lncRNA (ENSECAG00000041769.2)". The record is from RNAcentral. Lineage: Eukaryota; Metazoa; Chordata; Mammalia; Perissodactyla; Equidae.
CCCCUCCUUACUGCCCGUUUUCCCUAUAUAACUGCCUCAAGAUUCCGUAAUCCUGGAAGAUGGGUUUUUGAGACAUUAGUCACUCAUCUUCCGAUUAACCAGCUAAUCUAAUUAAGCUUCCUUUCUCGAUCUCUAACUUGUGAUUAAUUGGCUCAGAUCGCAGCGAACAGAGUGAGCCCUUCCUCAGUAUUAGCACUAUUGCGUUCUUUUCCUCCAACCGUUUGCAUCUGAAUAGACCUGACUGGACUCUGCAGGAGACCCCUGGCUGAUUUGCAAGGAAGAACGGGGCAGGGUCAAGAGAGCUCAUGACCUGAUGAUCUGAGGACCCAACCUGAGGAAAUAAGAGGACACUCAAAGGAACAGAUGAGUAAGAGCGCUCAGAACUUACCCAACUUCAAUGGCAAUUCCACUGAGGAGUAACCACAGUGUUGUUUUUUCAUAGAAACACCAAAUUUGGAAAUAAAACCCUGCUGGGUUUAUGUGGCACCUCAAUAUUCCACUGAUUUUUUUUCCAGAGGCCAGUGAGAAGGAGGAACCUUGUUCUUCCAGGCCUGGACAGCCAGCGCGUGACCGCAUUCAGCCCCUCCCACUCUUUGUGUCCCCCUGAUGGAGCUCUGAAUGCUCUGGGCUGGAGACCAUGGGACAGCACCUUUGAGAACCAUGUCACUGCUCUGACACACCUGCUGAGAUUCAGAAGGGUGGGGAGCAGGGGAGAGGCCCACUCUGCCUGUCCCCCAGGUGAUGGGUGAAUGUGCAAUUCCUCCAACACUGGGUGGGAAUGACUAACAGAGGAGUCCAGGCAGCUGCAGGGGGAAUCAGUUUAGCAGCUUUCUGUUGUCGACUCCACGACUUCCACAGUGAUGUCACACUCGGGUACAUCAGUGCUGUCCUACUCCAGCAGCCACGCGGCAGGGAGCCAUGGCCAGCAUGGUGCUGAGGCCAGCGGGAGACGGAGGAGGGAACGGCAUCUCUCCUGGGACUUCCCCUCUCUGGCUUUGCUGAACCCUGAGUGGACUCUCCUGGACCCCGAGUGGACUCUCUUGGACCCUGAGUGGACUCUUCCUGGCUCAUGCCUCAGAGCUCAUGGAUGCAGUCCCCAUGGGGAUCACAUGUUCUCUUGGGCAGACAAAAUGGAUAUACGGUCACAAGAGAUUAGAUAGCUAUGCAAGGAGACAAGAUGAAUGUACAUCCACGAGAGAUGGAAUAGUCAUAUGAGAAGACAAGAUGGCCAUACAGUCAUGAGACAUCAGACAGCCACACAAGGAGAUGAGAUGGAUAUACAUCAUGAGAGAUCAAAUAGCCAUCCAAGGAGACAAAAUAGCCACCUGACAGUGACAAACGCCAGCUGGAUUCUACCACCAUCACCAUUUGGAGAAGAAAUCCAGGGACUGCUCAACCUCUGUAGACCAAGGAGCUAAUUGGGAGAGAAGACUGCAUCAGUCAUUGGUGCAAG